Molecule: ribosomal RNA, 253 nt
Filed under: uncultured bacterium
Lineage: Bacteria
Description: partial 16S ribosomal RNA
Rfam family: Bacterial small subunit ribosomal RNA
Source: RNAcentral
UACGAAGGGGGCUAGCGUUGUCCGGAUUUAUUGGGCGUAAAGAGCGUGUAGGCGGCUUUACAGGUCCGUUGUGAAAACUCGAGGCUCAACCUCGAGACGCCGGUGGAAACCGUAAGGCUAGAGUCCGGAAGAGGAGAGUGGAAUUCCUGGUGUAGCGGUGAAAUGCGCAGAUAUCAGGAGGAACACCCGUGGCGAAGGCGACUUCCUGGCCUGUUCUUGACGCUGAGGCGCGAAAGCUAGGGGAGCAAACGGG